This 840-nucleotide long non-coding RNA is filed under the name Canis lupus familiaris (dog). RNAcentral describes it as "lncRNA (ENSCAFG00040007795.1)". Lineage: Eukaryota; Metazoa; Chordata; Mammalia; Carnivora; Canidae. The record is from RNAcentral.
AUUUCUUUAUGAGGAAACUCAAGACAGGUUGCUGAAACCUUGCUGAGCCAACUGGAAGGGUGUUUGAAGUCUUGGCCACUACCUAUUUAUUCCUUGCUAUUGAGUAUCUCACGUAUGAGUCUUCUACCAAUUCAGUGACAUACAAAGUACACCAAAUUUCAGAAAGAAAGAUUUUUCUGUGUGCCAUAAAUCUUGUGAUAAUAUUUGUCAUUAGCUCAAGCACUGAUCCAUAGUUCAAAGGAAAUUUACACUUCAACUGAGUAAGACAGGUUUUUAUCUUCUUAAAUCAUGGUAUCAGAGGCUGGAAGAAAAAUAGGCAAAAAAAAAAGUAAGGUUGAAUUACCUUGUUUAUUCAGCUCUCUCACAUCUUCCCAAGAACUCAACAGUGACAGUGGGCCUGAAGGAUCAGUAAGUAUUUAUAGGAGGCAUCUCUUGUGGUGGCUCCACAUUGCAGGGUUCCCGUCUUGAAGGAGCCACUCCAUGCGCAGAUCUGUGCUCUGUUUGUGCUCUCUCUCCACCCUGACAGCCAUCUCCAUGUUAGGAAAGAGUCUCCUGGACCAUGGCUCACUGGCACAGGCCUUUCAUCUUACCUAAGGGAGGUGAGCUGGGAACCAGUUCCUCCUCCAAAGCUGUGGAAAACCAAGAAGCCCUGAAGACCUGUGCACUGGUCAGCCAGUUUCUGAAUUUGGUUCAAGACAAGAUUGUAGUUUCAUCAAGGCAGGAACCAGGUGGAUCUUGCCCAUGGUUUAUGUCUGAGGCUUUGGACACUGCCCUAUACAACAUAAGUUUUACUUUGUGUGAAAUACCACGCUGAACAUUGGUGACCUGGAGAUAUAGAAG